Molecule: long non-coding RNA, 1736 nt
Organism: Coregonus clupeaformis (lake whitefish)
Lineage: Eukaryota; Metazoa; Chordata; Actinopteri; Salmoniformes; Salmonidae
Exons: 3
Source: RefSeq, a predicted model, not a curated record
GAUAAAAGCGUCUGCUAAAUGGCAUAUUAUUAUUAUUAUUAUUGUGAUAUGGUAUGUUACAUUGCGUCAGACCACCGCUAUGGGUGAAUUAGAAUGCUGAUUAUACUGAACAUUGUCAAUGUAAACAAACAGCCUUAAAACAUGGUUAAAACGAUAGUUUUGGUAUCGUUUUUGGUCAGUCCUUGCAUCCAUAGCUCUCUCUAUGCAUUUUUGAGUGGUUACAUUUCGGCAGGCCCAUCUCUCAGCUUUUGACCACUUUGUUAUUGUUUCAAAUAUUUCAAUUAUUAAUUGAUAUUGCAACAGCAUGUUGGUUUAACAUCAAAAGUUGAAAUUACAUUAAAAUAUAUAAUAUCGGUAAUGUGUGAUCAGCAAGCAUUAACAAAGUAUUGAAUGUGCAUAUUUUGACAAGUGUAUGGACUUCCUACUGUCUUCUUCUACUACAGGUCAUCUAAAAUCUAUGGACUUCCUGCUGUUCUUCUACUACAGGUCAUCUAAAGUGUAUGGACUUCCUGCUGUCUUCUUCUACUACAGGUCAUCUAAAGUGUAUGGACUUCCUGCUGUCUUCUUCUACUACAGGUCAUCUAAAGUGUAUGGACUUCCUGCUGUCUUCUUCUACUACAGGUCAUCUAAAGUGUAUGGACUUCCUGCUGUCUUGCCUUUGAUUGAAUUAAUUGUCCUUGUUGUCACACAAGCAGGACAACAUGAGUGAACACACUGGAGAGAAACCUUUUAGCUGUGAUCAGUGUGGGGCGAGGUUUGCUCUAUCUUUUACCCUGGCAAUACAUCAGCGAAUAGUCACUGUAGAUAAACCUGGGUUAGGGUUAGUCCAACUAAAAGACGACGUCAGAACGAUACAGGACGAUCCUAGUGGUAUGGUCCCGAGUCCCAACCAGUCUGAUGGUGGUGAUGAUAAUGCUGAUGAUGCGGUAGACUGCCACGUGGAAGACAUCGUUUUGUUGCCUAGCAACGGACUGAAGGCAGAGCCUUUGAGUCCCAGGCAAUCUGAUGGUGAUGAUGAUGCUGCAGACUGAUGAAUCGAACAAAGCGGGAGGAGCAACGGACUGGAGGCGGAGUCAGCUUCAGUGAAGCACACCCCAGAGCAGAGGGAGAGUGGUGACAUGUCUCUCCCGCCCCCCUCCCCGCUCCCGGAGUUCCCAGGUCGUGCCUCUCCCCGUAGCGCCUUACUGUGGGGUCUGAAGAGGGUGUCUGUGCGGCUGGUGGACUGCAGGAAAACACCGGGGCUGAGUGGAACUGUGAGAGAAGGAAAACAGGAAGAUUCAGAUUCAAUGUCAUCGAGUAAGAAGAAUGGAGGUUAUCGCUGGGGUGGCGCAUGAAGUGGAUGCAGAUGAUAUACCCGAGGAAGUAGGUGAAGUGAUUGGUGCACGUCAACUGACGGGUAUUGUGGAUGGAGUAAUGAAAUUCACUUCAUCCAUACUACUGUUCUUUGAUGAAAAGUCUCUCCCUUCUCAUGUAAAGUUAGGAUUUGUGAAAUACCCUCCUAUAAGAGCGUUUGUGCACAAACCCCUCUAGUGUCAUACAUGCAAAAGAUGUGGUCAUGCGUCAAGUGUAUGCAGACGGGGAGAAUAUCGUAUGCCAGCUGAGGUUAUGCUGCAACUGUGGUGGCGAACAUGCGCCCGAUUUCCCGGAUUGCCCUGUUAGGGGUGUGGUAUCUGAGGAAUUUAUGACUUUGCUAAUGGUUUCAAAUGGUUUUAGAGGAUGUUGACUCAGCUUAAAGG